This 303-nucleotide small nuclear RNA is filed under the name Nannospalax galili (Upper Galilee mountains blind mole rat). RNAcentral's name for it is "7SK RNA (ENSNGAG00000003832.1)". It matches the Rfam family "7SK RNA". From Rfam's summary of the family: 7SK was discovered as an abundant small nuclear RNA in the mid-70s but a possible function has only recently been suggested. Two independent studies have found that 7SK RNA binds the CDK9/cyclin T complex (known as elongation factor P-TEFb). The record is from RNAcentral. Lineage: Eukaryota; Metazoa; Chordata; Mammalia; Rodentia; Spalacidae.
GGAUGUGAGGGUGAUCUGGCUACGACAUCUGUCACCCCAUUGAUCACCAGGGUUGAUUCAGCUGAUCUGGCUGGCUAGGCCGGUGACCCCUUCCUCCCUUAAUGCUCCAUGUGCAUCCCUCCCAAAGCUGCAUGCUGGGCCGAAGAGGACGACAUUCCCUGAUAGAGGAGGACCAGUCUUCGGUCAAGGGUAUAUGAGUAACUGCAUGCCUCUGCUCGAACCUCCAAACAAGCUCUCAAGAAUUGCUUCUUAAGCCUGGCACGGUGGCACACGUCUUUAAUCCCAGCACCUAGGAGGCAGAGG